UGUGCUGCCGCAGCAAAGGGCAAAGGAGGCAGCGAGAUGCUGUAGUUAGUCUGAGCGUUGCUGCCAGGCUGCAACAAGAGGAAGGGAGAUGCUGGCCCCGAGCAGGCGAAAACAAGAGAGGAGCAAGGCAGGAAGCAGAAGAGCAAACCUAUCUCAUGAGGGAAACAGCAAAACUUCAAACACAGGUUUAAGCACAACAUACGAAGGAGGGAGAGAAAUCCCAAGCAGAGGAAAGGGGAAGAGUGGCUCGGAGAAAAGCAAAACCAGCCCACAAAGGAGACAGCCAAAACACCACCCCGCAAAGGAGACAGCCAACCUACCACCACAAAGGGGAUCAGCCAAAGGCUUCUGCCUUUCCUGGGGCAGCUUAAAAAGGGGAGUGGGCAGGGCUGGUGAAGUGGCCCCAGCUGGGGUGGGAGGAGACUGCAACAGAGCCCAGGUGCUGUGGGAUUAGGGGAGGGGAAGGGGGGAACAUGGUGCAGGUGGGGUGGAAAAGGAAGGAUGUGGAGAGGAAGAUGAUGGGGAUGUCUCUGGCACAAUGACAUCUGCCAGAUGUGAAGCUGCAUUUCACACCAGUGCUCCAUCACUGCUCAUGGGCAGUGCCCACUGUACAAGCACUCACAGGGGGCUGCUUUCCCCUCCCCCCCUUUUUGUCUUUCCCUAACCUAUGCCAACACAGCACUCAGGCGUUCAGUCUGCAGAUCCAAAGGAAAGAUCAGGCUGGAGAACCCAUUCCAGAGGUUCCGUGGGACACUGAGGAAAGGGCACUGGGGAGAACUGGGACUGAUUUUACAACUGGCUGCCUGGAAAAACACCCUUUGAAGAGUGAAGCUUUUUCUUCUCCAGGACUAGAACAAGGGGGCACAGCCUCAAGCUGUGCCAGGGCAGGUCUAGGCUGGAUGUUAGGAGGAAGUUGUUGGCAGAGAGAGUGAUUGCCAUUGGAAUGGGCUGCCCAGGGAGGUGGUGGAGUCACCGUGCCUGGAGGUGUUGAAGCCAAGCCUGGCUGGGGCACUUAGUGCCAUGGUCUGGUUGGUUGGCCAGGGCUGGGUGCUAGGUUGGCCUGGAUGAGCUUGGAGCUUGCUUCCAACCUGCUUGAUUCCAUGAUUCUAAGAAGAUCUCCCAUGUCCCACCCUAGCUGGAAAACAUCUCCCGUGUGCCAGUCUGGUUGGAUGCUCUCUCCAUGAGGCUUUGGGGUUUGAUUUGUUUGAUUUCCCACCUGGCUUUUAGCCAAAGCUCUUCCUGGCCAGAUUUGGUGGUGUUUUUUUGUUUUUCACUCCUCCUCCCACCCCCACAGCACCUGAGGUCAAUUGAAGUCUCCUCCCACCCCAGCUGUGGCCACUUUGCCCUCCCUGCUCACUGCCCUUUAUAAGCAGUGCAGGAGGAGCCCAGCCCCAAGCUGGGCCCAUUGUGGGCCAAGGGAUCCUCUGCCUGGCAUCCCAGGAGGUUGGAUCCUCGAAGGUUUUGCUCUAGGUUCUGCGAUGGAUGCAAAGAUGGAGCAGGAGCACCAACUGGAGCUGGUAACAGACCAGGAUCCUCCGGAGCUUUGCUCUAGGUUCUGCGAUGGCUGCGAACGUGGACCAGGAGCACGAACUGGAGCUGACUCUGAGCAGCCUGGACUACUUGAGGAUGCCCCUGCUGACUGUGGGGGUGAUUGGACUAGAUGAACUUUGGAGGUUCCUUCCAGCCUGGACCAUUCUAUGCCUUUUCUGGUGAAUUACAUCAGAUUCUCUUGGAGUGACACUUGGCAUGGGGCAAAGUAUCUAUUGUAAUCUCAUUUAAUAAACUGUUCAACCACUUAA
Pogoniulus pusillus (Red-fronted tinkerbird) is the source of this 1799-nucleotide long non-coding RNA. RefSeq lists it as uncharacterized. The transcript has 3 exons. Lineage: Eukaryota; Metazoa; Chordata; Aves; Piciformes; Lybiidae. The record is from RefSeq and is a predicted model, not a curated record.